AGUCACUGACAUUAGAUACCCCGGUAGUCCAGGGUGUAAACGCUGCAGACUUGGUGUUGGAAGCCCUUUGGGGCAUUCAGUGCCGGAGAGAAGUUGUUAAGUCUGCUACUUGGGAGUACGUCCGCAAGGAUGAAACUUAAAGGAAUUGGCGGGGGAGCACCGCAACGGGAGGAGCGUGCGGUUUAAUUGGAUUCAACACCGUAAACUCACCAGGGAAGACUGUUACAUGAAGGCCGAGAUGAAGACUCUGCUAGAUUUUCAG
RNAcentral lists this ribosomal RNA (262 nucleotides) under uncultured archaeon. RNAcentral describes it as "partial 16S ribosomal RNA". It matches the Rfam family "Archaeal small subunit ribosomal RNA", at positions 718 to 982 of the family's 1478-position model. The record is from RNAcentral.